UAACACCAAAAUGAUCGCUGCAGGUGAAAUAUUCGUCAAACUCGUCGUUUUCGUCGUACUGUGUUUCGUCGUUUCGUUGAUCAUCGUACCGCGACUCGUGAUCAAAACGUGACGGAGCAGAAAAAUAUAAAACGGUGUGAUAAAAAAUAAUAUGUCAUCGUCGUACACGAUGGAUCGGCAGGACGCCUCGCCCGACGUCCUUGGGCCGCAGCUGAAAAGUCGGAGGAAUAUAAUAAUAAUUUCAGGACUGGCGUUAUUAUACAUCGCGAGAAGACGAUCAUCGCGCGCAGGCGUCCGAAACAUUAGUAGAAUUAAUAAGAUUAAGAAGUCGGAAGAUAUAAUAUAAUAAACCUAAAAAUUGUCAUUGAUACAUAGUUCAAAAACAAAACGAAAAUAUAUUUUUAGUAUCAUUGUUUUUAUUUUUAGAACUAAGAGAAAUACAAUUAAAUACAUUUUUUUUUAAA
Long non-coding RNA from Metopolophium dirhodum (rose-grain aphid), 464 nucleotides. RefSeq lists it as uncharacterized. The record is from RefSeq and is a predicted model, not a curated record. Lineage: Eukaryota; Metazoa; Arthropoda; Insecta; Hemiptera; Aphididae. The transcript is spliced from 2 exons.